This 3029-nucleotide long non-coding RNA is filed under the name Macaca fascicularis (crab-eating macaque). Its description in RNAcentral is "lncRNA (ENSMFAG00000064839.1)". The record is from RNAcentral. Lineage: Eukaryota; Metazoa; Chordata; Mammalia; Primates; Cercopithecidae.
ACUAUGAACUCAACUUCUUUAUUUGGAUUUCACAAGGUUUUCGGAUAUCCUUUUUCGGUUCCAGGAUCCUAUCCAAGGUAUCACAUUACAUUCACUUGUCACAUUCACUUGUCAUUACUUGACGUGACAUAGACCAGACUCCUCUGGUCUAUGACAGUUUCUUAGACUUUUCUUGUUUUUGGUCUUGAUGGUUUUGAGGAAUACCGGCCAUUUUUUAAAGCGUGUCCCCCAGUUUGGGCUUAUCUGAUGUAUUUCUCAUUUGUUUUUAGAGAUAGGGUCUUUGCUCUGUUGCCCAGGCUGGAGUGCCAUGGCGCAACCUUGAACUCCUGAGCGCAGGAGUUCCUCCCACAUAGCUGGGGCUACAGGUGCACACCACUACACCUGGCUUUUUUUUUUAAGAGACCUCAUCUCAAUAUAUUGCCCAGGCUGGUCUCAAACUCCUGGCCUCAGGUGAUCUUCCCACUGUGGCCUCCCAAACAGCUGAAAUUACAGGUAUGAACCACUGUGUUCCACCUGUUUCUCAUGGUUUUUGUAUGGAAGACCACAGAGGUGAAGCAUCAUUCCCACUACAUCAUGUUAAGGGUGCAUACUAUUAACCUUAUUUAUUACUGUUUCUGACUGAGGUAGUGAUAGGUUCCUCUAUCAUAAAGUUACUCUUCAUCCUACCCGAUGUUCUAUAUGUACACAGGUACAGUGAUUUUAGAAUUGUUCACCUGCAUCCUCUUAAACUUCACCAACUAGAGUACAGUGAUUACGUAGCGCUCCUUUUGUCUGUACUCUUAGUUUUCAAUCAUUUACAAAGGUGUGCACCUCUUUUCCACACAGGCCUGUGCAGUUCUAUUCCCUCUUGAAAUGUUCAAUGUUUUGAGAUUAGGAGAUGGGAGAUGUCACAUACCUGGUUUCCAGCUUCUUCCAAAACACUGGCAAAUACGAAAACACUGUCACACAUUCCUCAAAGGCAAUAAUCAGCUGGAACUCUGGGUGGGGAAUAUUCUCCCAGUUCAAUAUGGUCCUCUCCUGGCCUGCUUCCUUUCACUGCUCUCCGUGUCCCUAAGGGCAUUUGAGUUUGCAACCCUUGAUGAAUGGUGGAGCAGGGAGACUGAGUGUAGACGAACUGGGGAGGCUUGGAAGGGCCAGGUGCCCCUCGCAACCAGAGUGGGCUGACUUCCCCAGUGCUGCUAGCAGUUGAGUAACUGCCAACAAUCUUCCCUGAAUUUCUAUUUAUUGGUUUCUUAAAAAUAAAAUGAAAACAACAAUAAAAAACCUGGCUGUCACUUAUAAGAUCUCUGUGUUGUAGUAGCCAGUUGUGGAUGAACAUUACCCAGAAGUGACGGAUGUAACAAACUCCAGAGGUAAGGGCAGGCCACUGUGGUACAAUUCACUGCUCCGAAGCCAGGCUAGGGCUCCCCUUGGUAGUACCUUUUGACUGCUCUGGUGGCCUGUGCUGGAGCUUACGUUGGAACCCACAGGACCUUGAUGCCCACAGCCCUGGGGAUGAACGCAGCCCUUUAGCCCCAGCAGUUUCUCUCCCUUCUUUCAAGCUCCUUGUCCCCACCAAGUUCAUCCUUAUAACCAACUAAAUAUACCCUUUUAAGACUCUCAGCUUUUCUUUGACAUAAAGAACCUACCCUGGCUGGGUGCGGUGGCUCACCCCUUAGUCCCAGCACUUUGGGAGGCCAAGGUAGGCAGAUCACAAGGUCAGGAGUUCGAGACCAGCCUGGCCAACAUGGUGAAACCCCAUCUCUACUAAAAAUACAAAUAUUAGCUGGGUGUGGUGUUGGGUGCCCGUAAUCCUAGUUGCUCGGGAGGCGGAGGCAGGAGAAUCACUUGACCCCAGGAGGCAGAAGUUGCAGUGAGCUGAGAUGCCGCCAUUGCACUCCAGCCUGGGCAACACAGCAAGACUCCAUCUCAAAAAAAAAAAAAAAAAAAAAAAAAAAAGAAAAAACCUACCCUUUUCAGUCUCUGUAGAGUAGAAGAUAUCAAUGGCUUUUCCCAUUUUUGCUGAAGGAGCAUUCUUGGAAGGCAAUAUUCUCAUUUGCUGGUAAUCUAUCCCAAAGAAUCAGGCACAUCUGGUUGCAAAAUCUUGAACCUUUAAGGUCUCUUGGUUGUGGCUUUCAUCUGAUGAUUCACUUAAAUCAGGGCCACACAAGGUAGACAUUUACAUAAACUCAUGAAUGUUGAUGCCAUUCAAAAGCACAAUUUCCUUUAUGUCUUAGGCAUGCAUUCUCAGUUACUGUUCUUUAUAACAAUUCCCUUCAGAUACAUAAGGAUUACAAGUUACUAUGUUUUAGUACAGUCUUGCUGGAAAUAGCCCCAAUGGAUGAUCCGUGUUCCACAUAAUCUUGACCAACAUUUCACGGCUAAUCCUAUCAUGGGAAGACAAUUCUGUGGGGAGAUGACUUAGGCAAGUUCAGAUGCAGUUAGCUGACCUGCCCAUGUGUACGGGAGAUACUCAUCCUAUUUCUACUAGACAAUGCCAUACAGAAACACAGCAUCUCCAUUAGGUGAGCUGAUCCUGAACAGUUCCUUUUUAAAUUAAAAUCUAGAUGGGCAUCCUUGCUCUGCCAAAAGCUUCAGAGCAGCCCUUUCAAAUAAUCUGUAAGGCUUAAGUAAGCAGUGAGGUUCUGACACCAUUAAUAACACAGGGCUGUUUGCAAAGCUAUAGCUUUAGAUAUGCAUUCCACAGGAUGUUUUUCAGUGGCUUGGGAGGGUUGCAUUAAGUCUUCCACACGUUUUUUUCAGUUCCCCACAUAAUAACCUGUGAAAACAGCCAAAUUCCUUAAACAGAGCAAAAUCAACUGGUUAUUUCAAGGACCUAUGAUUGGACAACACUUAAAGGUUUUAUUAUUUAGCCAGAGCAUGAGAGGGAUGGCUGGGGCAAUGUGCUAAUCCUUGGAAUCUGAUAAUCACUCUAGACACUCAAGUUUUUUUCUCUCCUUCUAUUAUUGCCUCUUUAGAGAUUAAAACCCUGUGUACCACUGAUGUUAUGCUGGAAGAUUUGUUUCACCAAUUCCUACUGUUCUGUAGCU